Molecule: long non-coding RNA, 1452 nt
Filed under: Bemisia tabaci
Lineage: Eukaryota; Metazoa; Arthropoda; Insecta; Hemiptera; Aleyrodidae
Description: lncRNA ENSSSA1UGG000668
Source: RNAcentral
GUGCAGAUCAGAAACGAAGCUUUCCUCAUGAUGUCGUUUGCUCCUUCGACGAGAAUGAUUGCGGAUUCAAGGGGGCUCUAGACAGCGCAUGGACGUGGGUUCCAAGAAAGGUUAUCAUGACUUCAAAGUCCUCAGGUGCAUUUGUAGGUGGAUACCUGAAAAGCGCAUUGGAGCUAGAGGAUAGAGGAUUAUUUACAAGGAGGCAAAUGUGGAGCGUUAACUUCUACGGUUUAAGUCCUCUUGAUGAUGAGCGUGGUCCAGAGGGAUGUGUCAAUUUCCUGUACUUUUUCGAUCCUGUCAAAACGGGAAUACUGUCUUUGCGGUUGUAUAAAACAGAUCUGAGCUCGCCUCUGGAUCUUGGAUUUGAGUCAGACCGAUCGUUUGUAAUUUGGACGAGUUUUGCGGGAAACAAUUUGGGAAUCAAUCCAACGAAGUGGUACCGAGCCUCCGUUCCUAUUUAUGUGAGCAGGCCUUUCACGCUCGGGUUUGUAUCGGUAAUCAUGGGCGUAGAAAAUGAAAAGUCGGUGAAGGUGGACGAAUUUGAAGUGAGAUACACGGCUUGUGAAUACCCAACUGUCAAUGGAGUCGACGGUAUUACAACAUCGCCAAAAUCAGAAUGGGUCGGGUCCUUAACGAGCCUAUUAUUGAAGGCGACUUCAACGCCAUCCUUGGGCAGUUCGUAUUCUAUACAGUCAUCAUCAAGAUCAUCAUCAAGACCAUCAUCAAGAUCAUCAAGUUUAUUAUCAAGACCAUCAUCAAGAUCAUCAAGUUUAUUAUCGAGACCAUCAUCAAGUUCAUCAAGUUUAUUAUCGAGACUAGCAUCAAGUUCACCAAGUUUAAAAUCGAGACCAUCAUUAAGAUCGUCAAAAUCAUCAUCAAGUUUAUCAUCAAGAUCUUCAUCUAGAUCCUCUUCAAAGUCAUCUUUUGGGGGAAGCUCCAGAUCCUGGACAAAAAACUUAGAUUCGUACUGGGCCUCUCUGAGCCCGUAACUCUUUUUCAUCUCGUUGAUCUAGAAUUGAACGUAUUUGUUCUAAAAGGGACUAUGUUUCACGUUAAGCCUCUGCUAAUAAGUCUUUUUCGUAUAAAUACGUCCAAUUGGACGUAUUUCUGCCAAACGGAACUAUGUGCAUUAAGACAUAUAAUAUCCCCAGAAUACUUUUAAAGCGCCUUUACUUUCCAGAAUCUUGACGGAAUUUUUUUUUUGCUUUAACGACUCAAGAGACAUUGUAGUUAAAAAAUAUAAAGAAUUUUCGAUUUUGACAAAAAAAAAGUUCGUUCAGGCACACCGUGUAUUGAAUGGAGUACUGCUGCUAUUCAACCUUUGUCUUCAGGUCAAAAUUGUGACAAGGAAACUCCUUGCAAGAGGCAAAUUUUUUGUAAUUUCUCCCAAUUUUUUCUCCGUUAUAUAAUUAAAUUGCUUGUUAAAUUCUGAGGUCAAUUUAUUUAAUUGUA